ACUAAUUUUGAUUCUAACCCUAGAAAAUAUAUUUUUUUGUAUAUUUUGUUUUGUAUAAAAGUAAAAUAAAUGAGUUUAUUUUCUAUUUGAUAACAAAUCCACUGGUUGAAUUGAAAUCUACGAGCUCUAUACAGAUAUGGUAAUAAUACAGUGAUACGAGCUUCGGUAAGCUUCUUAUGAAGAUAGGAAAGGAGAAUACACCCAGAAAAAUGGAAGAAAAUGAUGUUUUCCUUUGGGAAGAUGUGUGCUUGCGUAGAAUUUCAUAAGAAAACCUCACCGAUUGUACUCUGCUUUUCAAUGAAGGUGUGUGCCAACAAAGAGAAGCUGGAACAACAAGAUUGGAAUCGUUAAGAUGGUUUCUGAUUCUAAUUGUUGCCUUCAAAUCAUUCCUCCAAUUAGCUCUUCAUAAAAUUAUACCCUUGAACAUUCAAAUCCAUGGACUCUAUGCUGCACCUUCCGAACUUGCUUUUUUCUUUGGUAUAAAGAUAAUUUAAAUCUAAAUUGUUGUUCUACACUGUUAGAAAUUUAUUAUGGUUAUGAAGAAAUGCAGUGUAUAAGAAAUAUGCGCAAGUUACUGGAAAUACGAACAUCCGGUAUACAUCAGAAAGAAAAUUCUAGAGAAGAAUCAAGGAACAAUAUCCCAGGACGACAAUUUGGGCCGUAUAUGUCUAACAAUAAAUGUAUAAUUAAUUAUUGUGUCAAUUGUAUUUUUAAACUAU
This is a long non-coding RNA of Sitophilus oryzae (rice weevil), 719 nucleotides long. RefSeq lists it as uncharacterized. The record is from RefSeq and is a predicted model, not a curated record. The transcript has 3 exons. Lineage: Eukaryota; Metazoa; Arthropoda; Insecta; Coleoptera; Curculionidae.